RNAcentral lists this ribosomal RNA (550 nucleotides) under uncultured Glomeromycotina. RNAcentral's name for it is "SSU rRNA". It matches the Rfam family "Eukaryotic small subunit ribosomal RNA", at positions 548 to 1098 of the family's 1831-position model. The record is from RNAcentral. Lineage: Eukaryota; Fungi; Glomeromycota.
UUGGAGGGCAGUCUGGUGCCAGCAGCCGCGGUAAUUCCAGCUCCAAUAGCGUAUAUUAAAGUUGUUGCAGUUAAAAAGCUCGUAGUUGAAUUUCGGGAUUCAUCCGUUGGUCGGGCUUCACGGUCCGCACUGGUGUGAUGGGUUCCUACCUUCUGAAUAACCGGCAUGCCAUUAAUUUGGUGCGCCGGGGAAGCAGAACUAUUACCUUGAAAAAAUUAGAGUGCUUAAAGCAGGCAAGUGCCUGAAUAGGUUAGCAUGGAAUAAUAAAAUAGGACGGCAUGGUUCUAUUUUGUUGGUUUCUAGGAUCACCGUAAUGAUUAAUAGGGAUAGUUGGGGGCAUUAGUAUUCAAUUGUCAGAGGUGAAAUUCUUGGAUUUAUUGAAGACUAACUUCUGCGAAAGCAUUUGCCAAGGAUGUUUUCAUUAAUCAAGAACGAAAGUUAGGGGAUCGAAGACGAUCAGAUACCGUCGUAGUCUUAACCAUAAACUAUGCCGACUAGGGAUCGGACGAUGUUAAUUUUUUAAUGACUCGUUCGGCGCCUUACGGGAAAC